AUGAACGCUGGCGGCGUGCCUAAUACAUGCAAGUCGAGCGAACGGACGAGAAGCUUGCUUCUCUGAUGUUAGCGGCGGACGGGUGAGUAACACGUGGAUAACCUACCUAUAAGACUGGGAUAACUUCGGGAAACCGGAGCUAAUACCGGAUAAUAUUUUGAACCGCAUGGUUCAAAAGUGAAAGACGGUCUUGCUGUCACUUAUAGAUGGAUCCGCGCUGCAUUAGCUAGUUGGUAAGGUAACGGCUUACCAAGGCAACGAUGCAUAGCCGACCUGAGAGGGUGAUCGGCCACACUGGAACUGGGUCACGGUCCAGACUCCUACGGGAGGCAGCAGUAGGGAAUCUUCCGCAAUGGGCGAAAGCCUGACGGAGCAACGCCGCGUGAGUGAUGAAGGUCUUCGGAUCGUAAAACUCUGUUAUUAGGGAAGAACAUAUGUGUAAGUAACUGUGCACAUCUUGACGGUACCUAAUCAGAAAGCCACGGCUAACUACGUG
This 496-nucleotide ribosomal RNA is filed under the name uncultured bacterium. Its description in RNAcentral is "partial 16S ribosomal RNA". It matches the Rfam family "Bacterial small subunit ribosomal RNA", at positions 29 to 507 of the family's 1533-position model. The record is from RNAcentral.